This 301-nucleotide unclassified non-coding RNA is filed under the name uncultured Sordariomycetes. RNAcentral describes it as "sequence contains ITS1". The stretch from base 1 to 105 matches the Rfam family "5.8S ribosomal RNA", at positions 50 to 154 of the family's 154-position model. RNAcentral also lists the same sequence under 1 other name. The record is from RNAcentral. Lineage: Eukaryota; Fungi; Ascomycota; Sordariomycetes.
GAAAUGCGAUAAGUAAUGUGAAUUGCAGAAUUCAGUGAAUCAUCGAAUCUUUGAACGCACAUUGCGCCCGCCAGCAUUCUGGCGGGCAUGCCUGUCCGAGCGUCAUUUCAACCCCCAAGCCCGGCUUGGUGUUGGGGCACUACGCGCGAGCGUAGGCCCUGAAAAGUAGUGGCGGGCACGCUGGAGGCUCGGGCGCAGUAGCAAUGUCUCGCCCGCGGCCCCCCGGCGCGCUCCGGCCGUUAAACCCCCAUCUUCGCAGAAGGUUGACCUCGGAUCAGGUAGGACUACCCGCUGAACUUAA